GAUGAACGCUGGCGGCGUGCCUAAUACAUGCAAGUCGAGCGAACGGACGAGAAGCUUGCUUUUCUGAUGUUAGCGGCGGACGGGUGAGUAACACGUGGAUAACCUACCUAUAAGACUGGGAUAACUUCGGGAAACCGGAGCUAAUACCGGAUAAUAUUUUGAACCGCAUGGUUCAAAAGUGAAAGACGGUCUUUCUGUCACUUAUAGAUGGAUCCGCGCUGCAUUAGCUAGUUGGUAAGGUAACGGCUUACCAAGGCAACGAUGCAUAGCCGACCUGAGAGGGUGAUCGGCCACACUGGAACUGAGACACGGUCCAGACUCCUACGGGAGGCAGCAGUAGGGAAUCUUCCGCAAAGGGCGAAAGCCUGACGGAGCAACGCCGCGUGAGUGAUGAAGGUCUUCGGAUCGUAAAACUCUGUUAUUAGGGAAGAACAUAUGUGUAAGUAACUGUGCACAUCUUGACGGUACCUAAUCAGAAAGCCACGGCUAACUACGUG
RNAcentral lists this ribosomal RNA (497 nucleotides) under uncultured bacterium. RNAcentral's name for it is "partial 16S ribosomal RNA". It matches the Rfam family "Bacterial small subunit ribosomal RNA", at positions 28 to 507 of the family's 1533-position model. The record is from RNAcentral.